Molecule: ribosomal RNA, 770 nt
Filed under: Marinobacter sp.
Lineage: Bacteria; Pseudomonadati; Pseudomonadota; Gammaproteobacteria; Pseudomonadales; Marinobacteraceae
Description: bacterial SSU rRNA
Rfam family: Bacterial small subunit ribosomal RNA
Source: RNAcentral
GGAAGGCUGCGCAGCUUACCAUGCAGUCGAGCGGUAACAGGGGUAGCUUGCUACCCGCUGACGAGCGGCGGACGGGUGAGUAAUGCAUAGGAAACUGCCCAGUAGUGGGGGAUAGCCCGGGGAAACCCGGAUUAAUACCGCAUACGUCCUUCGGGAGAAAGCAGGGGAUCUUCGGACCUUGCGCUAUUGGAUGUGCCUAUGUCGGAUUAGCUGGUUGGUGAGGUAAUGGCUCACCAAGGCGACGAUCCGUAGCUGGUCUGAGAGGAUGAUCAGCCACAUCGGGACUGAGACACGGCCCGAACUCCUACGGGAGGCAGCAGUGGGGAAUAUUGGACAAUGGGGGCAACCCUGAUCCAGCCAUGCCGCGUGUGUGAAGAAGGCUUUCGGGUUGUAAAGCACUUUCAGUGAGGAGGAAAAGUUAGUCCUUAAUACGGGCUAGCCUUGACGUUACUCACAGAAGAAGCACCGGCUAACUCCGUGCCAGCAGCCGCGGUAAUACGGAGGGUGCAAGCGUUAAUCGGAAUUACUGGGCGUAAAGCGCGCGUAGGUGGUUUGAUAAGCGAGAUGUGAAAGCCCCGGGCUUAACCUGGGAACGGCAUUUCGAACUGUCAGGCUAGAGUGUGGUAGAGGGUAGUGGAAUUUCCUGUGUAGCGGUGAAAUGCGUAGAUAUAGGAAGGAACACCAGUGGCGAAGGCGGCUACCUGGACCAACACUGACACUGAGGUGCGAAAGCGUGGGGAGCAAACAGGAUUAGAUACCCUUGGUAGUCA